GACGAACGCUGGCGGCGUGCCUAACACAUGCAAGUCGAGCGGGGUCCAUCCAGUGGCAACACUGGGGAAGACCUAGCGGCGAACGGGUGAGUAACACGUGAGAAACCUGCCCUGAAGUCUGGGAUAACCCGAGGAAACUCGAGCUAAUACCGGAUGCCCCCACCGAGUCGCAUGGCUUGGUGAGGAAAGAUUCAUCGCUUCAGGAGGGUCUCGCGGCCUAUCAGCUAGUUGGCGGGGUAAGGCCCACCAAGGCAUCGACGGGUAGCUGGUCUGAGAGGACGAUCAGCCACACUGGGACUGAGACACGGCCCAGACUCCUACGGGAGGCAGCAGUGGGGAAUAUUGCGCAAUGGGCGAAAGCCUGACGCAGCAACGCCGCGUGCGGGAUGACGGCCU
RNAcentral lists this ribosomal RNA (396 nucleotides) under uncultured bacterium. RNAcentral describes it as "bacterial SSU rRNA". It matches the Rfam family "Bacterial small subunit ribosomal RNA", at positions 28 to 417 of the family's 1533-position model. The record is from RNAcentral.